Molecule: transfer RNA, 94 nt
Filed under: Gracilibacillus boraciitolerans JCM 21714
Lineage: Bacteria; Bacillati; Bacillota; Bacilli; Caryophanales; Bacillaceae
Rfam family: tRNA
About the family: Transfer RNA (tRNA) molecules are approximately 80 nucleotides in length. Their secondary structure includes four short double-helical elements and three loops (D, anti-codon, and T loops).
Source: Rfam by way of RNAcentral
GGAGGAAUACCCAAGUCUGGCUGAAGGGAUCGGUCUUGAAAACCGACAGGGGGGGUGUCAAAGCCGCGGGGGGGUUCGAAUCCCUCUUCCUCCU